CACGUAGGGUGCGAGCGUUGUCCGGAAUUAUUGGGCGUAAAGAGCUCGUAGGCGGUGUGUCGCGUCGGCCGUGAAAACCUUCGGCUUAACCGGGGGCUUGCGGUCGAUACGGGCAUCACUUGAGUUCGGCAGGGGAGACUGGAAUUCCUGGUGUAGCGGUGAAAUGCGCAGAUAUCAGGAGGAACACCAAUGGCGAAGGCAGCUCGCUGGGACGGUACUGACGCUGAGACGCGAAAGCGUGGGGAGCAAACAGG
This 254-nucleotide ribosomal RNA is filed under the name uncultured bacterium. RNAcentral's name for it is "partial 16S ribosomal RNA". It matches the Rfam family "Bacterial small subunit ribosomal RNA", at positions 524 to 776 of the family's 1533-position model. The record is from RNAcentral.